RNAcentral lists this transfer RNA (68 nucleotides) under Encyrtus eulecaniumiae. RNAcentral describes it as "tRNA-Cys". The record is from RNAcentral. Lineage: Eukaryota; Metazoa; Arthropoda; Insecta; Hymenoptera; Encyrtidae.
AGAAUUUUAGUUUAAUUAGUUUUUAAAACAGUAAAUUGCAAGUUUAAAGAUGCUUAGGGCAAGUUCUU